RNAcentral lists this long non-coding RNA (236 nucleotides) under Gallus gallus (chicken). RNAcentral describes it as "long non-coding RNA NONGGAT007976". Lineage: Eukaryota; Metazoa; Chordata; Aves; Galliformes; Phasianidae. The record is from RNAcentral.
GGAAAUUUACCUGGACUUAAGGUGAAAAGGACAAGCAAGGACAGUAAGACUGGAGCACCUGUGGCAGCUGGAUUAGUUCCUGAAUUUCUCAACUGCUGCUCUGUUUCCUACCUCCACAGAAUUUCUGCUACAACAGCUCUUAUAAACAUUGCUGCUAAAACUUAAAACUUGUAGUUAGGUGCCUGCAUUUUGAUGCACGAAAUGCUUUUAGCUGUAUCUGAGUAUUUAAAAAUGAU